Molecule: ribosomal RNA, 253 nt
Filed under: uncultured bacterium
Lineage: Bacteria
Description: partial 16S ribosomal RNA
Rfam family: Bacterial small subunit ribosomal RNA
Source: RNAcentral
UACGGAGGAUCCAAGCGUUAUCCGGAAUCAUUGGGUUUAAAGGGUCCGUAGGCGGUUUUGUAAGUCAGUGGUGAAAGCCCAUCGCUCAACGGUGGAACGGCCAUUGAUACUGCAAGGCUUGAAUUAUUGGGAAGCAACUAGAAUAUGUAGUGUAGCGGUGAAAUGCUUAGAGAAUUACAUGGAAUACCAAUUGCGAAGGCAGGUUGCUACCAAUACAUUGACGCUGAUGACGAAAGCGUGGGGAGCGAACAGG